AGGUGAUCAUGACUCGGGGGAUGAAGAUGAUGAUGACAUGCCACAGCAGGGUCCUCCAAACCAAGCUAUGGUCAUUCGUGAAAUAGGCCCUGAAGAGAAGAAUAGUGAUGCAGAGGAAAUUAUUCCAGUCGUGAAUGCACCAGAGGAUGCAGAGGAUGCUGAAGUUCUUAGUGACAUUGAUCGGGAUCACAACGCCAUGGAUGAUUAUGCUGAUUAUCAAGAGGUGGGGGUGCAUACAGCAUGUACCGUGGAGAGAUGGAUACUAAUGAGUUGUUCAAUCCCAUCCCCAUUUUUGAGAAUGCUACGGGCGACAUACCAGACAAUGAAAGUUACCAGAGGUACUCGGAUGUACUUCAUCCAAGUGAUGAAAUUAUGGAGCAGACUGUUCGCAAUCAGGAAGCGUUGGCAAUAAAGAGGGGAAAAAGGAAGCGGGAGGAUGAGUUAUGUCAAGAGGAUUCUCCGACCACACAUAAGCAGGUGAUCCGCGAGAAAGGUGAAGGAAGCAGCUCUCAGGCUGAGAGCGACCAGUGUGGAGGUGUGGUGGGCCCUAAAUCACCAUUUUCUUCAUGAUUACAACCUGCUGGAACUGUCAAGGCCUUGGCAUAGACCUUACAGUUCGACGCCUAAAGGAGAUCAAGCGUUUGUAUCUCCCGGACAUUUUAUGCUUGCUUGAAACAAAACAACAAGAUGACAAGAUCCGUGAUGUUUGUGUGGAGUUGGGUUAUGAGAAGUUCAUCUCGGUUCCACCUAUUGGUCUGAGUGGUGGUGUUGCUGUUUUCUGGAAGUCUUAUUUUCGUUUCUGUUAUUUUUCAAAGUUCAAAUCUUGUAGAUUCUCAAGUUCAAAGUAAUGGAAUAUGUUUUUUUUUGUCUUUUGUGUAUGGAAAUCCGGAGCCGAGUAACAAAAAACAAUUAUGGGAAAGACUUGAAAGAAUAUCCACUUCCAGAAGUGGUCCAUGGAUAACAAUGGGAGAUUUCAAUAAAAUCAAGGGGAACGAUGAAAAAAGAGGCGGACCACGUCGAUUAGAAAGCAGCUUCACAGAUUUCAGAAGGAUGAUAGCUACUUGUGACUUCCAUGACCUCAAAGCUGUUGGAGAUAGAUUCUCAUGGACAGGAAAACGCCACACACAUGAUGUUUGGUGUUGCCUAGAUAGAGCUAUGGCAAACUCUGAAUGGAUGGCCAAGUUCCCUUCAGCACAGACAGAAUUUCUCCCUUUCGAAGGUUCUGACCACAGACCACUGGUGACCAGCAUUUCCCCAACUAUCACUCAACGUAAAGGAUGUUUCAGAUAUGAUAAGCGACUUAUUGACAGAGAUGGUUUCAGAGAAAGAGUCAUUCACAGUUGGAAUUCAGGAGGCCCAAACACACCAUUAACAACACGAAUUCAGACCUGCAGAAAGGCUAUGGCGACAUGGAAACGCAGGAAUAAAACUAAUGCAGCAGAGAGGAUUGGUCUAUUGAAACAAAAGCUCGAUCAUGCCUUAUCAAACCCUGGAUUCACAACUCGAGAAAUCAACCAAAUUCGAUAUGAUCUAUCCCAAGCUUAUCGUGAAGAGGAAGAGUUUUGGAGAUUGAAGAGUCGAAAAACAUGGGUUGACUUGGGUGAUAGCAUCACAAAAAAUUUGGCGACAGGCUCUAUUCUAUGCUGCAACUAAAGCCAGAGUAGCCAGGAACCGUAUCAUAGUCAUCGAAGAUGAACAAGGAAAUAUAUAUUAUGG
Molecule: small RNA, 1716 nt
Filed under: Arabidopsis thaliana (thale cress)
Lineage: Eukaryota; Viridiplantae; Streptophyta; Magnoliopsida; Brassicales; Brassicaceae
Description: ATSL259210
Source: RNAcentral